UUGGAGGGCAAGUCUGGUGCCAGCAGCCGCGGUAAUUCCAGCUCCAAUAGCGUAUAUUUAAGUUGUUGCAGUUAAAAAGCUCGUAGUUGAAUUUCGGGGUUAGUAGGCUGGUCGUGCCACCGGUAUGUACUGGUCUUACUGAUUCCUCCUUCCUGAUGAACUGUAAUGCCAUUAAUUUGGUGUUGCAGGGAAUCUGGACUGUUACUUUGAAAAAAUUAGAGUGUUUAAAGCAGGCUAACGCUUGAAUACAUUAGCAUGGAAUAAUGAAAUAGGACGUUCGAUCCUAUUUUGUUGGUUUCUAGGAUUGACGUAAUGAUUAAUAGGGAUAGUUGGGGGCAUUAGUAUUCAAUUGUCAGAGGUGAAAUUCUUGGAUUUAUUGAAGACUAACUACUGCGAAAGCAUUUGCCAAGGAUGUUUUCAUUAAUCAAGAACGAAAGUUAGGGGAUCGAAGACGAUCAGAUACCGUCGUAGUCUUAACCAUAAACUAUGCCGACUAGGGAUCGGAUGAUGUUAAUUUUUUAAUGACUCAUUCGGCGCCUUACGGGAAAC
This 549-nucleotide ribosomal RNA is filed under the name uncultured Glomus. Its description in RNAcentral is "SSU rRNA". It matches the Rfam family "Eukaryotic small subunit ribosomal RNA", at positions 548 to 1098 of the family's 1831-position model. The record is from RNAcentral. Lineage: Eukaryota; Fungi; Glomeromycota; Glomeromycetes; Glomerales; Glomeraceae.